Molecule: ribosomal RNA, 528 nt
Filed under: Triticum aestivum (bread wheat)
Lineage: Eukaryota; Viridiplantae; Streptophyta; Magnoliopsida; Poales; Poaceae
Description: partial small subunit ribosomal RNA
Source: RNAcentral
AUGUCGUCUGGUCAGCAGGAGCAGCAGCACAGGACGGUGAGGUCGGAGCCGCCGAAGCGGCCCGCGGGGCGGACCAAGUUCCAGGAGACGCGCCACCCGCUGUACCGCGGCGUGUGGCAGCGGGGGCCCGCCGGGAGGCUCUGGCUCGGCACCUUCGUCACCGCCGAGAUGGCGGCGCGCGCCCACGACGCCGCCGUGCUCGCGCUCUCCGGCCGCAAAGCCUGCCUCAACUUCGCCGACUCCGCCUGGCGGAUGCUGCUCGUGCUCGCGGCCGGCUCCUUCGCCUUCGGCAGCGCGCGGGAGAUCAAGACCGCCGUCGCCGUCGUCCCGAGCGGCGCGCUAUUCUCCAUGUCGUCAGGCGACUUGCUGGAGCUCGACGACGAACAGUGGUUUGGCGGCAUGGUUGCCGGGUCGUACUACGAGAGCUUGGCGCAGGGGAUGCUGGUGGAGCCGCCGGAGGCCGGAGCAUGGCGAGAGGACAGCAAGCACAACGGUGUGGCGGAGACGCAGACGCUGUUGUGGAGCUAA